AGCCCGGAGAUGGGUUGUGAGACACGAAUCCGGACCUUACGGGGUGCGGCAGGCGCGAAAACCGGCAAUGCGAGAAAUCGUGACCAGGGAACUCCAAGUGCUUGGGUAACACCGGUGCCUUUCUUGACUGGAUGUAGGUCUGGCAUAAGGGGUUGGUCAGGACGGUCCAGCCGCCGCG
Molecule: ribosomal RNA, 178 nt
Filed under: uncultured archaeon
Lineage: Archaea
Description: partial 16S ribosomal RNA
Rfam family: Archaeal small subunit ribosomal RNA
Source: RNAcentral